GUAACAAGGUUUCCGUAGGUGAACCUGCGGAAGGAUCAUUAAUGAAAUGCAAGGAUGCUCUUUUUAGAGGUCCGACCUAUUCAUUUUUCACCCUGUGCACUAUACAUUUUUACAUCAUUUUACACCUUAGUCUCAGAAUGUAUUGAUCUCUUAAUUGAGAAUAACCCUUUAAAACUUUCGGCAACGGAUCUCUUGGCUCCCGCAUCGAUGAAGAACGCAGCGAAAUGCGAUACGUAAUGUGAAUUGCAGAAUUCAGUGAAUCAUCGAAUCUUUGAACGCACCUUGCACUCUUUGGUAUUCCGAAGAGUAUGUCUGUUUGAGUGUCGUGAAACUCUCAACCCCCUCGUUUUGUAAUGAGACGAGCGUGGGCUUGGAUCGUGGCUGCUUGCCGGUCUGUCAAGACCGACUCGGCUGAAAUACAUGAGUGACCAUAUUGAAACAAGACGGUUUGACUCGGCGUAAUAAUACUAUCUCGCUGGGGACGUCAUUUUCAAAGGCGCUUCUACUAUACGCACUUUUAAGCUUUAGACCUCAAAUCAGGCAGGACUACCCGCUGAACUUAAGCAUAUCAAUAA
Molecule: ribosomal RNA, 575 nt
Filed under: Millanizyma bloemfonteinensis
Lineage: Eukaryota; Fungi; Basidiomycota; Cystobasidiomycetes; Cystobasidiales; Microsporomycetaceae
Description: eukaryotic LSU rRNA
Rfam family: 5.8S ribosomal RNA (bases 173-326)
Source: RNAcentral